GCUCAGAACUGGUACGGACAA
This 21-nucleotide small nuclear RNA is filed under the name Arabidopsis thaliana (thale cress). RNAcentral describes it as "snRNA_14385". Lineage: Eukaryota; Viridiplantae; Streptophyta; Magnoliopsida; Brassicales; Brassicaceae. The record is from RNAcentral.